GCCCCGGGCCUGUUUCCCUCUGAUGCAGUUACAGGGAAAAAAACAGGCAGGGAAGAUGGCCCGUCCCCUCUGCACUGUGAUGAGCCUUCCUGAGCGACAGCAUCCUGUUCUCUGACUUGAGUUUAAGUCCACAAAGUCCUCAGCACAGUGUGCCAUCCAGCUUCACGUCUUGCUCAUUCAGGAUGCCCUGGAGUCCUGGCAUCAUCUUCCUAAAAAAGAUGGGAGGUUCCAUUCUUCCUUCAAGGAGGAACUCACAAGUCACGUCUCACGUGGGUGAAGACUCCUGGCCCCCAGGCAGGCUUGGUGUCAUCCUCUCAUUCCACGGCUGUUAUGGCAACACCACUCAAUUCAGCCUCCUGGAACCAAAGAUUCAAGUUGUCCUUGUUGCUGGGCCGAACAAUUGUUAAGUGAUGGAGUUAGUUACUCAAGCCUCAUUUCUCCCACACAUUUGCUUCUGUGUCCCUACCACGUCCCUAACCUGGGUUUCUGACAGAGAGAGUCAGAGUCUCCACCCUUUUCACAACACCCAUUUGCCCCAACUUCUGUGGCCUCCUCUCUGCAAAUGCUCCUGGCCAUUUGAAAUCCACGUUGUGGUUAAUCUUAGGUGGGGUCCA
Molecule: long non-coding RNA, 614 nt
Organism: Bubalus bubalis (water buffalo)
Lineage: Eukaryota; Metazoa; Chordata; Mammalia; Artiodactyla; Bovidae
Exons: 2
Source: RefSeq, a predicted model, not a curated record